AGUAUAGCAUUAUACCGUGAAACUGCGAAUGGCUCAUUAAAUCAGUUAUCGUUUAUUUGAUAGUACCUUACUACUUGGAUAACCGUGGUAAUUCUAGAGCUAAUACAUGCUAAAAACCCCAACUUCGGGAGGGGUGUAUUUAUUAGAUAAAAAACCAAUGCCCUUCGGGGCUCUUUGGUGAUUCAUGAUAACUUAACGGAUCGCAUGGCCUUGCGCCGGCGACGGUUCAUUCAAAUUUCUGCCCUAUCAACUUUCGAUGGUAAGGUAUUGGCUUACCAUGGUUUCAACGGGUAACGGGGAAUUAGGGUUCGAUUCCGGAGAGGGAGCCUGAGAAACGGCUACCACAUCCAAGGAAGGCAGCAGGCGCGCAAAUUACCCAAUCCCGACACGGGGAGGUAGUGACAAUAAAUACUGAUACAGGGCUCUUUUGGGUCUUGUAAUUGGAAUGAGUACAAUUUAAACCCCUUAACGAGGAACAAUUGGAGGGCAAGUCUGGUGCCAGCAGCCGCGGUAAUUCCAGCUCCAAUAGCGUAUAUUAAAGUUGUUGCAGUUAAAAAGCUCGUAGUUGAAACUUGGGCCUGGCUGGCCGGUCCGCCUCACCGCGUGUACUGGUCCGGCCGGGCCUUUCCUUCUGGAGAGCCUCAUGCCCUUCACUGGGUGUGUUGGGGAACCAGGACUUUUACUUUGAAAAAAUUAGAGUGUUCAAAGCAGGCCUUUGCUCGAAUACGUUAGCAUGGAAUAAUAGAAUAGGACGUGCGAUCCUAUUUUGUUGGUUUCUAGGACCGCCGUAAUGAUUAAUAGGGAUAGUCGGGGGCAUCAGUAUUCAAUUGUCAGAGGUGAAAUUCUUGGAUUUAUUGAAGACUAACUACUGCGAAAGCAUUUGCCAAGGAUGUUUUCAUUAAUCAGUGAACGAAAGUUAGGGGAUCGAAGACGAUCAGAUACCGUCGUAGUCUUAACCGUAAACUAUGCCGACUAGGGAUCGGGCGAUGUUAUUAUUUUGACUCGCUCGGCACCUUACGAGAAAUCAAAG
Molecule: ribosomal RNA, 1030 nt
Filed under: Hongkongmyces aquisetosus
Lineage: Eukaryota; Fungi; Ascomycota; Dothideomycetes; Pleosporales; Lindgomycetaceae
Description: SSU rRNA
Rfam family: Eukaryotic small subunit ribosomal RNA
Source: RNAcentral